AUCGUGCUUUGCGGCACGAGUUGUAGAUUGCAGGUUGGAGUCUGUGUGGAAGGCGGUGUCCAAGUCCCUUGGAACAGGGCGCCCAGGAGGGUGAGAGCCCCGUGGGAUGCCGGCGGAAGCAGUGAGGGCCUUUCUGACGAGUCGAGUUGUUUGGGAAUGCAGCUCCAAGCGGGUGGUAAAUUCCAUCUAAGGCUAAAUACUGGCGAGAGACCGAUAGCGAACAAGUACUGUGAAGGAAAGAUGAAAAGCACUUUGAAAAGAGAGUGAAACAGCACGUGAAAUUGUUGAAAGGGAAGGGUAUUGCGCCCGACAUGGGGAUUGCGCACCGCUGCCUCUCGUGGGCGGCGCUCUGGGCUUUCCCUGGGCCAGCAUCGGUUCUUGCUGCAGGAGAAGGGGUUCUGGAACGUGGCUCUUCGGAGUGUUAUAGCCAGGGCCAGAUGCUGCGUGCGGGGACCGAGGACUGCGGCCGUGUAGGUCACGGAUGCUGGCAGAA
Molecule: ribosomal RNA, 493 nt
Filed under: Pichia kudriavzevii
Lineage: Eukaryota; Fungi; Ascomycota; Pichiomycetes; Pichiales; Pichiaceae
Description: partial large subunit ribosomal RNA
Rfam family: Eukaryotic large subunit ribosomal RNA
Source: RNAcentral